This 713-nucleotide long non-coding RNA is filed under the name Scleropages formosus (Asian bonytongue). RNAcentral's name for it is "lncRNA (ENSSFOG00015024532.1)". The record is from RNAcentral. Lineage: Eukaryota; Metazoa; Chordata; Actinopteri; Osteoglossiformes; Osteoglossidae.
GUUGAAUAAGGUGCGGCUCAUGGGGCACAACUGCUGGGAAAAAAACAGGCAGACCUCCAGACGGCUCUGGGUGCAGCAUGUUUAAAGACACGGACGUUGACAUUAUGGAUGGCAGACCAAAUAAAUACCCUGAGAUUAAGCGGAGGAACACAAUGGAACAUUCUGGAAUUUCUCAAAAGUUAUGAGAUCGCAGAGGACGGUUAAUUAAGGCACAGCGCUUCCUCAUAUUGCAUUGUAUAGGAACAAUUGCAUCCCUUGUAAGUGUGCUGAAGAUGUGACGAGCCCACUGGAAGACCUCGCCUUUAGCCCCCUCCUGGAGGACAUGCACUUGCCAGGGAUUGUCUUCUGAAUGCAUUCAUUGUCUCGCCGGGCUUUUCAGUUAAAACACACACGUGGUGACAGACUGAGAUCUUCAACCUGUUAACAGAUUGUGGGGAACCUCACGCAAGCAUUCGGAAAUCUUUCUUGGUGGACUAGGUUACUAUAAGAAUUAUUUUCUGAUGUUUGAUGCUGAAACACACAUUAAUAACACUUAUUGUACUGUGACAAUGGGAAGGAAAAAAAUACAAGUAGAUUCAUGUAGGUAGGCAUUUCAACUCAUUUUAGCCUCACGCCACCCCUUUCCUUUUUCCACACCUCCAUGUUAAGCGAGAGCAAUAUCUGUUAAUAUCGAAACAGUUUUCAGAAACCUCAACCAAUAUUGGCAGCUAAGC